UCACUUUCAACAACGGAUCUCUUGGCUCUCGCAUCGAUGAAGAACGCAGCGAAUGCGAUAAGUAGUGUGAAAUGCGUAAUUUGUGAAUCAUCGAAUCUUUGAACGCAAAUUGCACUCCCUGGUAUUCCGGGGAGUAUGCCUGUUUGAGGGUCGUU
Molecule: ribosomal RNA, 155 nt
Filed under: Funneliformis mosseae
Lineage: Eukaryota; Fungi; Glomeromycota; Glomeromycetes; Glomerales; Glomeraceae
Description: 5.8S ribosomal RNA
Rfam family: 5.8S ribosomal RNA
About the family: 5.8S ribosomal RNA (5.8S rRNA) is a component of the large subunit of the eukaryotic ribosome.
Source: RNAcentral